This 229-nucleotide ribosomal RNA is filed under the name uncultured bacterium. RNAcentral's name for it is "partial 16S ribosomal RNA". It matches the Rfam family "Bacterial small subunit ribosomal RNA", at positions 109 to 354 of the family's 1533-position model. The record is from RNAcentral.
AGUAAUGCGUGGGUAUUUACCCUCGGGUCUGGCAUAGCCCUUCGAGAGAAGGGGUAAUUCCAGAUGACGUCGCAAGACCAAAGGUCCGCCGCCCGGGGAGAAGCCCACGUGAUAUUAGGUAGUUGGCGGGGUAACGGCCCACCAAGCCUUAGAUGUCUAGCGGGUGUGAGAGCACGACCCGCGCCACUGGCACUGAGACACUGGCCAGACACCCACGGGUGGCUGCAGA